This 1600-nucleotide ribosomal RNA is filed under the name activated sludge metagenome. RNAcentral describes it as "bacterial LSU rRNA". It matches the Rfam family "Bacterial large subunit ribosomal RNA", at positions 697 to 2314 of the family's 2925-position model. The record is from RNAcentral.
UAGUCAGUGGCGGUAGACGCGAAACCUGUGUGAUCUACCCAUGGGCAGGUUGAAGGUGUGGUAACACACACUGGAGGACCGAACCAAUAAGCGUUGAAAAGCUUCUGGAUGACCUGUGGGUAGGGGUGAAAGGCCAAUCAAACUGGGAGAUAGCUCGUACUCCCCGAAAUGCAUUUAGGUGCAGCCUCGGAAUGUAAGUGUUAUAGAGGUAGAGCUACCGAUUGGGCUAGGGGGCUUCACCGCCUACCAAACCCUGACGAACUCCGAAUGCUAUAACACAUGUCCGGGAGUGAGGCGCGGGGUGCUAAGGUCACGCGCCGAAAGGGAAACAACCCAGAUUAUCAGCUAAGGCCUCAAAAUCUACAUUAAGUUGUUUAAACGAUGUUUGGUUGCUAUGACAGCUAGGAUGUUUGCUUGGAAGCAGCAAUUCAUUUAAAGAGUGCGUAACAGCUCACUAGUCGAGUGACCGAGCGCGGAAAAUAAUCGGGCAUCAAAUGUAGUGCCGAAGCUAUAGGAUUACGUAAGUAAUCGGUAGGGGAGCAUUCUGACAGCACUGAAGGCGAUUCGUAAGGAUCUCUGGAGCGGUCAGAAAAGAAAAUGUAGGCAUAAGUAACGAUAAAAAAAAUGAAAAAUUUUUUCGCCGUAAGACUAAGGAUUCCUGAUCAACGCUAAUCGAAUCAGGGUUAGUCGGGUCCUAAGGUGAACCCGAGAGGGGCAACCGAUGGCAAGCCGGUUAAUAUUCCGGCACCUGCUUAUACUGCGAUGGGGUGACGAAGUAGUGAAAGUACCGCGUGGUUACGGAUUACCACGUUGAAUGGUGUAGACGUUGAUAGAGUAGGCAAAUCCGCUCUAGAGUUGAACCGGAUAGUACACAAAGUUUUCGAACGGCGUGAUAGUGUACCUAAUCAGACUUCCAAGAAAAACCUCUAAGCUUCAGGUAUGAGCAGCCCGUACCGCAAACCGACACAGGUAGUCGAGGAGAGUAUCCUCAGGCGCUCGAGUGAGUCACGGCUAAGGAACUCGGCAAAAUGGACCCGUAACUUCGGGAGAAGGGUCGCCCCAGCAAUGGGGCCGCAGUGAAAAGUAUCAGGCGACUGUUUAACAAAAACACAGGGCUCUGCAAAAUCGAAAGAUGAAGUAUAGGGCCUGACACCUGCCCGGUGCUGGAAGGUUAAGGAAGGUUGUUAGCCGCAAGGCAAAGCUUCCGACUGAAGCCCCAGUAAACGGCGGCCGUAACUAUAACGGUCCUAAGGUAGCGAAAUUCCUUGUCGGGUAAGUUCCGACCUGCACGAAUGGUGUAACGAUCUGAUAACUGUCUCAGCCGUGAGCUCGGUGAAAUUGUAGUCCCGGUGAAGAUGCCGGGUACCCGUAACGGGACGGAAAGACCCCGUGAACCUUCACUACAACUUUGCAUUGACUUUGAGUAAACGAUGUGUAGCAUAGGUGGGAGACUAUGAAGCGGGCACGCUAGUGUUCGUGGAGUCGACGUUGAAAUACCACCCUUUGUUUACUUAGAGCCUAACUCCUGAAGGGAGGAAAGUGCAUGGUGGGUAGUUUGACUGGGGUGGUCGCCUCCAAAAGAGUAACGGAGGCUUCCAAA